RNAcentral lists this long non-coding RNA (1066 nucleotides) under Arabidopsis lyrata. RNAcentral describes it as "long non-coding RNA (ALYR_LNC000299)". The record is from RNAcentral. Lineage: Eukaryota; Viridiplantae; Streptophyta; Magnoliopsida; Brassicales; Brassicaceae.
ACUUCGUCCUCACUUACAAAACUUGUGGAAACCAUAAUAAGCUUGUGUAGGCUUCUUGGAGUCCAAUAUGACAAGAUUGGUGUGUAUGACUGAGUAUGAGAAAGAGAAAUGCAUCCCGGAUCCUGGUUGUUAAAGUACCGUAGAUGCAAAACAAAAAAAAACUCAAAGGGACUUCGUCCUCACUUACAAAACUAUUGAAAGCCAUAAUAACCUUGUGUAGGGUUCUUUGAGUCCAAUAUGACAAGAUUGGUGUGUAUGACUGAGUAUAAGAAAGAGAAAUGCAACCCGGAUCCUAGUUGUUAAAGUAGCGUAGAUGCAAAACAAAAAAACUCAUAGGGACUUCGUCCUCCCUUACCAAACUUGGGGAAGCCAUAAUAAGCUUGUGUAGGCUUGUUGGAGUCCAAUAUGACAAGAUUGGUGUGUUUGACUGGGUAUGAGAAAGAGAAAUGCAACCCGGAUCCUGGUUGUUAAAGUACCGUAGAUGCAAAACAAAAAAAACUCAUAGGGACUUCGUCCUCACUUACAAAACUUGUGGAAACCAUAAUAAGCUUGUGUAGGCUUCUUGGAGUCCAAUAUGACAAGAUUGGUGUGUAUGACUGAGUAUGAGAAAGAGAAAUGCAUCCCGGAUCCUGGUUGUUAAAGUACCGUAGAUGCAAAACAAAAAAAAACUCAUAGGGACUUCGUCCUCCCUUACCAAACUUGGGGAAGCCAUAAUAAGCUUAUGUAGGCUUGUUGGAGUCCAAUAUGACAAGAUUGGUGUGUAUGACUGAGUAUGAGAAAGAGAAAUGCAACCCGGAUCCUGGUUGUUAAAGUAGCGUAGAUGCAAAACAAAAAAACUCAUAGGGACUUCGUCCUCCCUUACAAAACUUGGGGAAGCCAUAAUAAGCUUGUGUAGGCUUCUUGGAGUCCAAUAUGACAAGAUUGGUGUGUAUGACUGAGUAUGAGAAAGAGAAAUGCAACCCGGAUCCUGGUUGCUAAAGUAGAGUAGAUGCAAAACAAAAAAAACUCAUAGGGACUUCGUCCUCACUUACAAAACUUGUGAAAGCCAUAAUAAGCUUGUGUAGGG